RNAcentral lists this long non-coding RNA (1365 nucleotides) under Nicotiana tabacum (common tobacco). RNAcentral describes it as "long non-coding RNA (NTAB_LNC006050)". Lineage: Eukaryota; Viridiplantae; Streptophyta; Magnoliopsida; Solanales; Solanaceae. The record is from RNAcentral.
CUCAAAUACCUAUUUUGAGCCAAGCAGGAUAAACAUAGAUGUCUGUCGCACUUCUCUAUGAUGUAAUUUCUAGCAAAGUCACUGCUUCAUAAUAUUUAGUCUUCAUUGUCAGGAAUAAGAAAUCUAGAGUAUAUUAUCUUGAUCUGGAAGAAUCAAAUCUAACUGAAAGAUAGAAGAAAAGCAAUGAAGUGGCUACAAAGAACAAGUAGCAAUAAUCUCCAGAAAUUUCAAUAGCAGCAAGAAUGCUCAAGUCUUUUGGGAAUGGGAUACCUUAAGUAAACUGUAGUAAAGAACUAAAUCCAAAGUCAACAGCCAAUAUUCCGAGAAUAUAAGCAAGAGAAGCAAUUAAGGUAAAGCUAACUCUUUAAUCUGUUGAAAGUAACACAUCAGCCUGCAGAGAAAGAAUUGAGGAACCAGAUUUAAAAGGAAAAAUUGCCUACCAUUGAAUGUAAAGCACGGGGAGGGAUUAAAUAGAGAUUUCCUCAAGACGAAUCUGUCCAUUUUCAUGAAUGCAUCAAGAUCAAAAUUAUAGUAGUAAGAAAUCAGCAUUGAAUAAGCACAGAACAAACUAUAAUUGCACAGCCAUAAAGUAAUCUUCUUUAAACAUAAACAUCACUUUAAUAAAUCAAAUUUCCUUUCAUGACACACAUAAUUCAAUACUUGCAAUAAAGUAAGCCUUAAGAUUCACAUGAAAAAUUCAUGCAAACACACAAAAGAUUAAAACUGUGUAGAAUAGAUCACUUUAUUCAUAUAAAUUUGUGUUUUUUCUACAUUUCUCGUUUGCUGCAAUUACAAAAGACAAAUAACAAAAUCAAAAAUUCAAAGGGGGAAAAUCCCCCCUAAAUACACAAAGUUUCAGUUUUUUCUAUAUGUUUUCACUAUAAUUAUCCAAUUCUCGCGAAAGAUAACAUUUUUACGAAUUGGAUUCAGUAAAAAUGGGUGCAACAGCAGUGAGCUUCUUUCUCUGAAUAAACCGAGGCUGGCGAAAUCGGAUCGAUGAAUUGAAGCAGGGAAUGACAUCCAUGGUUUGUAAGGGGUCGGAUGACGCGGUAAUUAAGGGAAUUUGUUGACUAUAAAUAGCAAACAGGGACUGAACAGUUUUCAACCUUGAUUUAGCAGAGAUUUUGGAGUACCUGAUUUGGGCAAGUGCACCUGGUUUCAAGAAUGUGUGAAAUGAUGGUGGUGAUGUUGUAGAUCUGGAAGUUCUGGUUCUCGUUGAGGGUUUCAUUGUCGGGGGUGGAGAAAUUAGGAUUUUUUUCGGGAUUUUGGUGGAAACCCUAGGAGGAGGAGAGUGAGGUUGUUGAGAUUGGGAUAUGAAAGAGGGAGGAUAUGAGGGUUUAAAAUACGGAGAUGUGAAGGCGGGAA